RNAcentral lists this ribosomal RNA (476 nucleotides) under Hyphomicrobiales bacterium. RNAcentral describes it as "bacterial SSU rRNA". It matches the Rfam family "Bacterial small subunit ribosomal RNA", at positions 279 to 772 of the family's 1533-position model. The record is from RNAcentral. Lineage: Bacteria; Pseudomonadati; Pseudomonadota; Alphaproteobacteria; Hyphomicrobiales.
AUCAGUAGCUGGUCUGAGAGGAUGAUCAGCCACAUUGGGACUGAGACACGGCCCAAACUCCUACGGGAGGCAGCAGUGGGGAAUAUUGGACAAUGGGCGCAAGCCUGAUCCAGCCAUGCCGCGUGUGUGAUGAAGGCCUUAGGGUUGUAAAGCACUUUUGUCCGGGAAGAUAAUGACUGUACCGGAAGAAUAAGCCCCGGCUAACUUCGUGCCAGCAGCCGCGGUAAUACGAAGGGGGCUAGCGUUGCUCGGAAUCACUGGGCGUAAAGGGCGCGUAGGCGGACUCUUAAGUCGGGGGUGAAAGCCCAGGGCUCAACCCUGGAAUUGCCUUCGAUACUGAGAGUCUUGAGUUCGGAAGAGGUUGGUGGAACUGCGAGUGUAGAGGUGAAAUUCGUAGAUAUUCGCAAGAACACCAGUGGCGAAGGCGGCCAACUGGUCCGAUACUGACGCUGAGGCGCGAAAGCGUGGGGAGCAAA